GAUGAACGCUGGCUACAGGCUUAACACAUGCAAGUCGAGGGGAAACGACGGGGUAGCUUGCUUUCCCGGGCGUCGAACGGCGUACGGGUGAGUAACGUGUAUUCAACUUGCCUCUGACUGAGGGAUAACCCGCUGAAAGUCGGCCUAAUACCUCAUGGCAUCGUCUGCGGGCAUCCAACGACGAUUAAAGAUUUCAUGGGGCAGGGAUGGGGAUGCGUCUGAUUAGCUAGUUGGCGGGGUACCGGCCCACUAAGGCGACGAUCAGUAGGGGUUCUGAGAGGAAGCUCCCUCACAGGGGGACUGGCACACGGGCCACACAGCUACGGGCGACAGCAGUGAGGAAGAUUGCAGAGUGGACGAGAGCCUGAUCGGGCCAAGUCGCAUGCAGGAAGGCCGCCCUAUGGAUUGUAAACUGCUUUUAUGAGACGGUAAAGUGAGGUACGGGUGCUUCAGUGCAGGUACCGGAUAAAUAAGGACCGGCUAAUUACGUG
RNAcentral lists this ribosomal RNA (491 nucleotides) under uncultured bacterium. RNAcentral's name for it is "partial 16S ribosomal RNA". It matches the Rfam family "Bacterial small subunit ribosomal RNA", at positions 28 to 507 of the family's 1533-position model. The record is from RNAcentral.